This 348-nucleotide ribosomal RNA is filed under the name uncultured Pseudomonas sp. RNAcentral's name for it is "bacterial SSU rRNA". It matches the Rfam family "Bacterial small subunit ribosomal RNA", at positions 1031 to 1382 of the family's 1533-position model. Lineage: Bacteria; Pseudomonadati; Pseudomonadota; Gammaproteobacteria; Pseudomonadales; Pseudomonadaceae. The record is from RNAcentral.
GACACAGGUGCUGCAUGGCUGUCGUCAGCUCGUGCGUGAGAUGUUGGUUAAGUCCGUAACGAGCGCAACCCUUGUCCUUAGUUACCAGCACGUUAUGGUGGGCACUCUAAGGAGACUGCCGGUGACAAACCGAGGAAGGUGGGGAUGACGUCAAGUCAUCAUGGCCCUUACGGCCUGGGCUACACACGUGCUACAAUGGUCGGUACAAAGGGUUGCCAAGCCGCGAGGUGGAGCUAAUCCCAUAAAACCGAUCGUAGUCCGGAUCGCAGUCUGCAACUCGACUGCGUGAAGUCGGAAUCGCUAGUAAUCGUGAAUCAGAAUGUCACGGUGAAUACGUUCCCGGGCCUU